RNAcentral lists this ribosomal RNA (301 nucleotides) under uncultured bacterium. RNAcentral describes it as "partial 16S ribosomal RNA". It matches the Rfam family "Bacterial small subunit ribosomal RNA", at positions 509 to 808 of the family's 1533-position model. The record is from RNAcentral.
CAGCCGCCGCGGGAAUACGUAGGUCCCGAGCGUUGUCCGGAUUUAUUGGGCGUAAAGCGAGCGCAGGCGGUUAGAUAAGUCUGAAGUUAAAGGCUGUGGCUUAACCAUAGUACGCUUUGGAAACUGUUUAACUUGAGUGCAAGAGGGGAGAGUGGAAUUCCAUGUGUAGCAGUGAAAUGCGUAGAUAUAUGGAGGAACACCGGUGGCGAAAGCGGCUCUCUGGCUUGUAACUGACGCUGAGGCUCGAAAGCGUGGGGAGCAAACAGGAUUAGAUACCCGAGUAGUCACUGUCUCUUAUACA